Molecule: non-coding RNA, 652 nt
Organism: Coturnix japonica (Japanese quail)
Lineage: Eukaryota; Metazoa; Chordata; Aves; Galliformes; Phasianidae
Source: RefSeq, a predicted model, not a curated record
GCUGCAGGGAUACGGCAUGGCAGCCCUCCAGCAGCCGCCCCACAUCGUCCCCCACAGCACGGCCACGGGAUGGGGGCGGCCCCGCAGCGCUCACCCGGCCACCUGGUUGAUGACAGGGGCGAAGUUGGUGGGCCCAUAGAGCUGCACGGUGCGCAGGCUCUGCAGGGUUCAGCACCUGCGGGCACCAGGCAGGUCCCUCUGUGGGGCUCCCCACGCCCCCAAAGCUGCCCCACUGUGGCCCCUGCCCUACCUCAUACACCGUGAACUGGCUCUGUGCACGGGACAGCUCACGGUAGCUGGUGGCAAACUCCCCGAUGAAGUCGUGGCUGCAGGAGGAGCGCAGGGGCUGCGUGUGUUAUGGGAUGAGGAACACCCCGAUGUCACUGUGCUGCCCUUUGGGGCACGGCCUCACCUCCCAUCCCUGUCCCAGUCGUACACAUCAAUCUUCACUGUGCUGGAAGUAAAGCGGGGCUGAGGGGGAGCCUCUGGCAUGGCCCACAGUGUGCAGGGCUCAGUGUGCCAUCAGAGUAACACUGCAUGCCCAGGGAGGGGAGCAGGGAAUUUGGGUCAUGGUGGAGCUCUGGGGAGGGGGGAAGCUUUUAUGUAAUUUGGAUUGUAAAAGGAAAAAGAAAAAAGAGAACACCACUAAGAA